UGCGUAGGUGGUGAGGUAAGUCGGAUGUGAAAGCUCGGAGCUCAACUCCGAAAUGGCAUUGGAAACUACCUUGCUAGAGGAUCGGAGGGGGGACUGGAAUACUUGGUGUAGCAGUGAAUGCGUAGAUAUCAAGUGGAACACCAGUGGCGAAGGCGAGUCCCUGGACGAUACCUGACACUGAGGCACGAAAGCUAGGGGAGCAAACA
This 206-nucleotide ribosomal RNA is filed under the name uncultured bacterium. RNAcentral's name for it is "partial 16S ribosomal RNA". It matches the Rfam family "Bacterial small subunit ribosomal RNA", at positions 568 to 774 of the family's 1533-position model. The record is from RNAcentral.